RNAcentral lists this non-coding RNA (183 nucleotides) under Syntrophotalea acetylenica. The record is from RNAcentral. Lineage: Bacteria; Pseudomonadati; Thermodesulfobacteriota; Desulfuromonadia; Desulfuromonadales; Syntrophotaleaceae.
ACAAUUCGACCAGGGACAGGUGCCAUACAAGCCUGACAGGGAAGACGGUGUAAAUCCGUCGCGGUCCCGCCGCUGUAACCGGUGACGAUGGCCACACAAUGCCACUUUUCGCGCGUGAAAGGGAAGGCGUGGCCGGCAGGAUGAUCCGGAAGCCAGAAGACCUGCCUGUCCCGCACAGGUGCU